This 399-nucleotide ribosomal RNA is filed under the name uncultured bacterium. RNAcentral describes it as "partial 16S ribosomal RNA". It matches the Rfam family "Bacterial small subunit ribosomal RNA", at positions 338 to 754 of the family's 1533-position model. The record is from RNAcentral.
CCUAGGGGUGGCAGCAGUGGGGAAUAUUGGACAAUGGGGGAAACCCUGAUCCAGCGACGCCGCGUGAGUGAAGAAGGAUUUCGGUACGUAAAGCUCUAUCAGCAGGAAAGAAAAGGACGGUACCUGACUAAGAAGCCCCGGCUAACUACGUGCCAGCAGCCGCGGUAAUACGAAGGGGGCAAGCGUUAUCCGGAUUUACUGGGUGGAAAGGGAGCGUAGACGGCAGCGCAAGUCUGGAGUGAAAUGCCGGGGCCCAACCCCGGAACUGCUCUGGAAACUGUGAAGCUGGAGUGCAGGAGAGGUAAGCGCAAUUCCUGUUGUAGCGGUGACAUGCGUAGCUAUCAGGUGGACCACCGGCGGCGACGGCGGCUUACUGGACUGUACCUGCCGUUGAGGCUC